Non-coding RNA from Pimephales promelas (fathead minnow), 213 nucleotides. The record is from RefSeq and is a predicted model, not a curated record. NCBI's taxonomy places the organism in Eukaryota, Metazoa, Chordata, Actinopteri, Cypriniformes, Leuciscidae.
GUAAAAGCCUCGAUAACGUCCAAAAUCUCCAAUGCAACGGUUUCUUGAGCAGCGGCCUCAGGGAAGAAAAUAAAUUCACUCCUGAUAAGGACGUCUAGAGAUAAAGUCAGGAACCCUCUUUUCCAACUGACUUGAUUGAAUAUCGCUGUAGAAGUUCCCCCUCUCUUCUUUCCGUCUUGAUUUUAGCCCAGAAUUCAAACUUCAACGAGUAUG